CCUACGGGAGACAGCAGUGAGGAAUAUUGGUCAAUGGGCGUAAGCCUGAACCAGCCAAGUCGCGUGAGGGAUGAAGGUUCUAUGGAUCGUAAACCUCUUUUAUAAGGGAAUGAAGUGCGGGACGUGUCCCGUUUUGUAUGUACCUUAUGAAUAAGGAUCGGCUAACUCCGUGCCAGCAGCCGCGGUAAUACGGAGGAGCCGAGCGUUAUCCGGAUUUAUUGGGGUUAAAGGGUGCGUAGGCGGCCUUUUAAGGCAGCGGUGAAAGUCUGUGGCUCAACCAUAGAAUUGCCGUUUAAACUGGGAGGCUUGUGUAUGUUUGAGGCCGGCGGACUGCGUGGUGUAGCGG
Molecule: ribosomal RNA, 346 nt
Filed under: uncultured bacterium
Lineage: Bacteria
Description: partial 16S ribosomal RNA
Rfam family: Bacterial small subunit ribosomal RNA
Source: RNAcentral